Molecule: ribosomal RNA, 473 nt
Filed under: uncultured bacterium
Lineage: Bacteria
Description: SSU rRNA
Rfam family: Bacterial small subunit ribosomal RNA
Source: RNAcentral
AGGACGAACGCUGGCGGCGCGCCUAAUACAUGCAAGUCGAGCGAGAACCAGGGCUUGCCCUGGGGAGAGCGGCGAACGGGUGCGUAUCACGUGAGCAACCUGCCUCGGAGACCGGAAUAACUCGAGGAAACUCGGGCUAAUGCCGGAUGCCCUCGGUGGACCGCAUGGUCCGGCGAGGAAAUGGAUUCCGCUCCGAGAUGGGCUCGCGGCCUAUCAGCUUGUUGGUGGGGUAACGGCCUACCAAGGCAACGACGGGUAGCUGGUCUGAGAGGACGAUCAGCCACACUGGGACUGAGACACGGCCCAGACUCCUACGGGAGGCAGCAGUAGGGAAUCUUGCGCAAUGGGCGAAAGCCUGACGCAGCGACGCCGCGUGCGGGAUGAAGGCCUUCGGGUCGUAAACCGCUUUCAGCAGGGACGAAAUUGACGGUACCUGCAGAAGAAGGCCCGGCCAACUACGUGCCAGCAGCCGC